GAGUUUGAUCCUGGCUCAGAUUGAACGCUGGCGGCAGGCCUAACACAUGCAAGUCGAACGCCCCUUCGGGGGAGUGGCGGACGGGUGAGUAACACGUGGGAACGUGCCCUUUGGUACGGAACAACUGAGGGAAACUUCAGCUAAUACCGUAUAAGCCCUAUGGGGGAAAGAUUUAUCGCCAUUGGAGCGGCCCGCGUUGGAUUAGGUAGUUGGUGGGGUAAGAGCCUACCAAGCCGACGAUCCAUAGCUGGUCUGAGAGGAUGAUCAGCCACACUGGGACUGAGACACGGCCCAGACUCCUACGGGAGGCAGCAGUGGGGAAUAUUGGACAAUGGGCGCAAGCCUGAUCCAGCAAUGCCGCGUGAGUGAUGAAGGCCUUAGGGUUGUAAAGCUCUUUCACCGGGGAAGAUAAUGACGGUACCCGGAGAAGAAGCCCCGGCUAACUCCGUGCCAG
RNAcentral lists this ribosomal RNA (454 nucleotides) under uncultured Alphaproteobacteria bacterium. RNAcentral describes it as "bacterial SSU rRNA". It matches the Rfam family "Bacterial small subunit ribosomal RNA", at positions 9 to 511 of the family's 1533-position model. The record is from RNAcentral. Lineage: Bacteria; Pseudomonadati; Pseudomonadota; Alphaproteobacteria.